Non-coding RNA from Schistosoma mattheei, 46 nucleotides. Lineage: Eukaryota; Metazoa; Platyhelminthes; Trematoda; Strigeidida; Schistosomatidae. The record is from Rfam.
GCACUGCUAAGGAGUCCUACAAUAGGACGAGACGGCCGUCCAGUGC